UAGCGCGGUGGUCCCACCUGACCCCAUGCCGAACUCAGAAGUGAAACGCCGUAGCGCCGAUGGUAGUGUGGGGUUUCCCCAUGCGAGAGUAGGGAACUGCCAGGC
Molecule: ribosomal RNA, 105 nt
Filed under: Escherichia coli
Lineage: Bacteria; Pseudomonadati; Pseudomonadota; Gammaproteobacteria; Enterobacterales; Enterobacteriaceae
Also listed under: 15 other names
Source: RNAcentral